Molecule: long non-coding RNA, 1598 nt
Organism: Eriocheir sinensis (Chinese mitten crab)
Lineage: Eukaryota; Metazoa; Arthropoda; Malacostraca; Decapoda; Varunidae
Exons: 2
Source: RefSeq, a predicted model, not a curated record
GAGGGAAAGGGAAGGAGAAGAGAAGGGAGAAGAAGGCGCAAGGGUCAUUCUGCUGUCCUGCCUCUAAGGCUAUUGAUUCCCUGCACUCCUGGGGUUGGUCUGAGGAUCUGUGUGUGUGUGUGUGUGUGUGUGUGUGUGUGUGUGUGUGUGUGUGUGUGUGUGUGUGUGUGUGUGUGUGCUCCUGUCGCUGGAUCUGCAUAAUGUUGUUGGUUUUUCACUGUAAUAAGUAGGUGACCCAUGGCAUUUAGAUUACCAUACGCUGGCCAUGAAGUAAUGACCUGAGUGGUUAGGUCAUUACUCUGGUCAAGCUAAGGUCUCCGGCGACAGGUAAGGUCAUUCAGGUGUCAGGUGAGGAGCACUCAGGUAACAAUACAACAUCAGAUGAGGUCCUGCAUACUAAAAUAUCGCAUACUUCAAAGGAAAUGGAUACUCAAACAGGAGAUCGUCAUUGCCAUCUCCAAUCCAUUCUCCAUUUCCUACUCCCCUCGUUCCCUUCCCCCCCAUCCAAUGUCUCCCUCGUGUGUCUCCAUCCCUCCUCCCCUCCCCCCUUUCGUGUUCCCAUAUCACCGGAGUCCUGUAAUACCGCUCACCCUAAUAUCCCUUUGUCCCUCGUGUGUCCCGUCGCCUACCUGUGCCUAAUUGCCUUCCAGUGGCCUUCAGUCGCUUGUGGCAAUGAGAUCAGAUUCCUUAAAAGCUGCAGGAGGAGAAGGAGGAGGAGGAGCAGCUGAAAUAUGAGAGGAAAAAGAAUAUUAACAGAAGGAUUUGCACUGAUGGUUUAAGGGAGAGGGAGAGGGGGAGUGAAAGGAGGGCAAGGACAGGAAAGGAAAGUGCAGGAGAAGGAGGAAGAGGAGCAGCUGAAAUUUGAGAGGAAAAAGAAAAUUAACAGACGGUUUGCACUGAUGGAUUGAGGGAGAGGGAGAAGGGGAGGGAAAGGAAGGUAAGGACAGGUAAGGUAAAGGAGGACAGGAGAGGUAAAGAAGUGAAGGAUAAGGGGAGGAGGGGGUGAUUAGAAGAAUAAGAUUGGGAUUUAAAGAACAAAGUAAAUAUAGGAGUGUAGGAAGUGGUAGCAAAGGGGGAGGAGUGAAGUAAAGGAAAGAAAAAGAGAAUACAAUGCAUGAAUUGGACAACAAAAUAAGGGAGUGAAGCGCAAGAAGAGUAAUGUAACAGAAACAAAGAGAGGAAGAGAAUAAUAUUAGUGCAAGAAGGAAGAAGGGAGUGAAGUAAAGAAAAAGAAAAAAAGGAAGAGGAGACAGCAAUGCAGGAGCAGGUGUGAGGGAGUGGGAGGUCACGUGCAGCAGAUAAGACGCAAAGCAAGACGAAGGUGAGCUCAGGUGAGGUCCCGUUCACGUGGACUGGCUAGCGUAUUAGGUCAGAGAGAGAGAGAGAGAGAGAGAGAGAGAAGAAACAAAGAAAAGAGAAAGAAAAUUAAGAAAAGAGAAGAAAAGAAAAGAAAAAACGAGAAGACAAAAAGGAAAAUGGAAUAAAGGCAAAAAAGAGUUAAAAUAUGAAUGAGAGAGAGAGAGAGAGAGAGAGAGAGAGAGAGAGAGAGAGAGAGAGAGAGAGAGAGAGAGAGAGAGAGAGAGAGAGAGAGAGAGAGA